UACGUAGGUGGCAAGCGUUGUCCGGAUUUACUGGGCGUAAAGGGCGUGCAGGCGGUCUGUUAAGUGCAGGGUGAAAGCUCCCGGCUCAACUGGGAGAGGUCCUUGCAUACUGGCGGACUUGAGGGGGGUAGAGGAAAGUGGAAUUCCCGGUGUAGUGGUGAUAUGCGUAGAUAUCGGGAGGAACACCUGUGGCGAAGGCGGCUUUCUGGGCCCUACU
Molecule: ribosomal RNA, 217 nt
Filed under: uncultured bacterium
Lineage: Bacteria
Description: partial 16S ribosomal RNA
Rfam family: Bacterial small subunit ribosomal RNA
Source: RNAcentral